GAUGAACGCUGGCGGCGUGCCUAAUACAUGCAAGUCGAGCGAACGGACGAGAAGCUUGCUUCUCUGAUGUUAGCGGCGGACGGGUGAGUAACACGUGGAUAACCUACCUAUAAGACUGGGAUAACUUCGGGAAACCGGAGCUAAUACCGGAUAAUAUUUUGAACCGCAUGGUUCAAAAGUGAAAGACGGUCUUGCUGUCACUUAUAGAUGGAUCCGCGCUGCAUUAGCUAGUUGGUAAGGUAACGGCUUACCAAGGCAACGAUGCAUAGCCGACCUGAGCGGGUGAUCGGCCACGCUGGAACUGAGACACGGUCCAGACUCCUAAGGGAGGCAGCAGUAGGGAUGCUUCCGCAGUGGGCGAAAGCCUGACGGAGCAACGCCGCGUGAGUGAUGAAGGUCUUCGGAUCGUAAAACUCUGUUAUUAGGGAAGAAAAUAUGUGUAAGUAACUGUGCACAUCUUGACGGUACCUAAUCAGAAAGCCACGGCUAACUACGU
This 496-nucleotide ribosomal RNA is filed under the name uncultured bacterium. RNAcentral's name for it is "partial 16S ribosomal RNA". It matches the Rfam family "Bacterial small subunit ribosomal RNA", at positions 28 to 506 of the family's 1533-position model. The record is from RNAcentral.